GAACGAACGCUGGCGGCGCGUUUAAGCAUGCAAGUCGAGCGGCAAGGGCCUUCGGGCCCUAGAGCGGCGGACGGGUGAGUAACACGUGGACAAUCUGCCCCCCGGCCCGGGAUAGCCCAGGGAAACCUGGAUUAAUACCGGAUGAGACGGGACCCGCGAUGGCGGGAUCCGGGAAAGGCGCUGCGGCGCCGCCGGGGGAUGAGUCUGCGUCCCAUUAGCUAGACGGCGGGGUAACGGCCCACCGUGGCGACGAUGGGUAGCCGGCCUGAGAGGGUGGACGGCCACAUUGGAACUGAGACACGGUCCAGACUCCUACGGGAGGCAGCAGCUAAGAAUCUUCCGCAAUGGGCGAAAGCCUGACGGAGCCGACGCCGCGUGAACGAAGAAGGCCGUGAGGUUGUAAAGUUCUUUUCGGGAGGGGGAACAACCGUGGCAGGGAAUGGCCGCGGGAUGACGUGAAUCCCGGAAUAAGCCCCGGCUAACUACGUGCCAGCCGCCGC
Molecule: ribosomal RNA, 500 nt
Filed under: uncultured bacterium
Lineage: Bacteria
Description: bacterial SSU rRNA
Rfam family: Bacterial small subunit ribosomal RNA
Source: RNAcentral